CCAUGGAAGUAUACCACUUCGAACAAUCAUAUCCGUUGUUAUUAUUUUAGUGAAUUUUGUAGUGAUAUUUAACUAGAAUAUUUUGUUAUUUCAGAUUAUUUGUUAUAAUUUCACUUAUUAGAACUUUAUGAUACCCUCCAUCACUUUUUAUUACAGUUAUAAACCUAUGACUGCAACCAUUGUGUUUAUUUAUAUUUACAGGAGUGGAGAACAUUUUCAAUUAUUAAUUUCAUACCUGAUAUUGAAAAUGUAACAGAAAAAAAGAAUCGGUUUUAUGUAAGUAUCCUUUGUAUACUGUAGAAUUUCACACGAGGACAGAUUGGACAGAUAGUAAGAAAUAAAAAUGAUGUAACUUUAAAUCAUUGUUUUAACGUAAAAGUAAGUAACCACUUAUUCAUGAAAAAGUUAAAAUUAUUUUAUACAUAGUUAUUAUCUGGCAUUGAUUAAUAUUUUUUAUAGUAUACAAACUUUUGCUUUUACUUUUUAAUACUUUCAAACAUUAUACAAAUACCUAAUAUAACUUCAAUAUUUCGUUAGUAAUGCAAGCGCCUUUGUCGAGUAUGAUGAUGCCAAUGUUCACAUUUAACCAUUUUAUUUAGAGGGUAACACAUAGAACAAACUAUAUUUAGAAAAUCUAAUAAAAAGCGAAAAACUGUAAACAGUUACUUAAAUAUGUUUAACAUUAAAACCACUGUAAGCUACCAUUUUUAAGGAGUUGUAGUUAGGCAAAUUUUUGAAAUUUAAUUUAAAAAGUAUAGAAAUGUUUGAAUGAAUUAACAAGUUUACUUUGCACAUUUCAAUUUCAAAAAAUUUCAAAAUUUCAAACUUUUCAAUUUUAGCAUGUCCUUGAUGAAAAUAAAAAUUUAACAUUUUAUGAAUUUGUCAAUUUUUAAUAUUAAAUAUAAUACAGAUAUUAGAAAUAUUAAAUAAUAUUUAGGUACUUCGACCUAUGCAAAUUAAUAAAAUUGUAUACCAAUUCAAAUAUCAUUAUUAUAUUUAAAAUUUUUUAAAACUGUUUAGCUUUUAUCAGUUGCUUUCGUUGUUUUCAUCAAAACUUAAUAAGGUUCACAUGAUUUAUAGGAUUUGCUUUUUAUUAACCAAUUGCAGAUAAUUGGUAACCAAUUAUCAAGUAUUUACAGUGAUUGGUUUUGAAGUUACAAAAAUAAAAAAAAAUAAUUUUGUUGAAAAUUGGUUUUACGUGAAAAUUCCGGUUUUCCCGUUACUUUUUUUGUGGUUUUUCCCGAUUUUUUCGAAAACUACUGAAAAAUUCUUACUUUUAACCUCUAUAAUUUAUCAAGAACAUUAAAUUUUUCAUCGGAAACCAUCCCUAAAGCACUAUUUCGACAAGUUAUCGUGUCCACAAAAAAAGUCUUAGAUAGGACAAUUAUUUAUUGCUUGUAGAAAAAAAAAUCAAAAUUUCGUUAUUUGAACACACAAUUUUAGUUUUUUUAAAAAUAUUUCAAGAUUGAGUAUUAUAUAAUAAAAUUCGUGUUUAAUAAUACAAAGAUAAAUAUUUUAAGUUGUACCAAAUUAUUCGUUAUCGGAAUCUUCUACCAAAUGACAUCGUCAUUUGAUGCAGGAUCAGAGCUUGGUUGAGAAACUAAUACUUCUUUUUUCUCGUGUUCAAUAUUUUUUUUUCUAAAAAUAAAAUAUAUUUAUUAUUUUAUAAAUAUCACAUAAAUUCUAUUUUAUACUAACUUUAAUAGGAAAAUAAGACAUUCUUUUACUAUUAACUAUUACAGUUUACACGACUCAACAUUUUUUAUAUGUUUUGUUUUACUGUUUUUAUUAAAUUCAGUCAAUAACAAACGCUAAUGUCUAAUAGCUUAAAGUAACUCUAUCAACCUAAACAAAUAAAUAAAAAUUAAAAAUGGUAAAUGAAAUAUACUUCAAUAAUAAAAAAAAGUAAUCUAAUUGUGUACCCAUUUUAAUUUAUCUCCAUCUUCAAUUUUUACAUACUUGCUUCCAAUUCCAUGUUUCUUAACAUGCCAUGCCAUUUUCUUAAGAGAAUCGGAUAUUUCAAAAUAUUUCAAGCAUUUCCAUCUACAAAUAUUACAAAAUUAUACUUCAAAUUUUUUGCUAAAAAUAAAAAGAAUUGCUUACGUUUUAUAAUUGACUUCUUUGUAUAAGUGUUCACGAAAAAGUUCUAUAUUAAUAGUUUUAAAAUCAUCGCAUUUAGGACAUACAAAGGGUAGACCAUUUAAAGAUAUUGCUCCUAGUUUAUCAUUCUUAUUAAAAAAUCUAUUAACGUUUUCUGUUUAUGAGGUUGAAUUGAAGAGCUUUUAGUCGCUAAUUUUGGACUCUUAUUGAUGUACCACGAGAUUUAUUAUUCAUUUUCAAUGGUGUUGAUUCAAUAAGAAUUACUCGACAAGUAGGAGACACGAGUGUAGCGUCAAUACUUUCUAAAGCUUGCGGUUCUAGAAGUUAUCUGCACCUUUUUAAGGUAGAAUGAAAAACUGAUGUAUGUUUCUUUAACCUUUCCUCUGUCAAACCUGUAUAAGUUCAAAGAAGUAUUGAGCAUUUAUAUCGCAUAUUUUUUGGUAUGCACUGUGGAAAUAUCUCGGUAAUAAAAUUGUCAUCUGGGCCUACUAUACAACGAUUUUCUUAUUAAGUUUAUCUCUUUUUAUCUGUGCAAUAAUAUAGGUGACUAAGUUCUGGAGUAGAGUGUCCAAAAUGUAAAAUAUAUAACCUAUAGACAUUGGAAGUUUAAUUCAGUUAAUCGUAUUAGUACAUAUACCAACUAGUACAAAAUCUCUGAAACAAACAAAAAAGGCUAUACCAAUAAAGGGUGGAAGAAAAAUAUUUUGACUUGGAAUAAACAAUAAAUCAAAUUAUCAAUGGCACUUGAAUUUAAUUAUUAUAUUUUAUUAAAAUUUUUAUUUUUCGUUUAAUAUUGUAAUAUACUCAUUAUAUUAUAUGACUCAUCAUAGAUAGAUUAAUUUAUGCAACUUACUAGGAAAAAGACAUUAUAUAAA
Molecule: long non-coding RNA, 2975 nt
Organism: Aphis gossypii (cotton aphid)
Lineage: Eukaryota; Metazoa; Arthropoda; Insecta; Hemiptera; Aphididae
Exons: 3
Source: RefSeq, a predicted model, not a curated record